Molecule: unclassified non-coding RNA, 3034 nt
Filed under: Hevea brasiliensis (rubber tree)
Lineage: Eukaryota; Viridiplantae; Streptophyta; Magnoliopsida; Malpighiales; Euphorbiaceae
Source: RNAcentral
CUGGGUCGGUAGAGGAUAGUACAAAACAGAAUUUCUCUCGCUCAAAUAGGCGACACAAAAGACCUCCUCCGAAUUCCUUCUAUAAAGCCACCAAAGCUCGUUACGUUCGGUCUAAUUUUUCUCACCAAAACCCUAGAAAUCACAAUAACCAUAAGGGGAGGUGAGAAAAAGACACAGCUAGUAGCAGAGCUAAUCACCAUUUUUCUCUUACCUAGCUCGCUUGCUGUCUCUCUCGGAUCCAAAUCUGACCUCAGGUACUCUCUUCUCUUGUCUUCUCAUAUCUGCAUAUGCCCCUGUCGAAUCAUCUCUUAGCUUAACUUUCUUUAGUUAUGGCUUUUGGAGUGAAUGGAGAUGUUUCUCCUACAACUCGCUGAAUUUUGAAGUGUAAACUGAGACCUUAUGGCUAAACUCUUUUUCUUCACGAGUCUACAAAUCGAAAACAGUGCAGCCAUUGACAUGUUUGCUUAGCGGGGAUGGAUUUUCUCGGGUAUCUUUGUUUUCAAAUGUUGUGCGAUGUUUCCUCGAUUAGCUUUGGCGAUUCUACACUUGCUUUUUUUUUCCCUAAAUUUUUAAAUUUCAUUUUGUAUUUUUAAAUAAUGUGUUAUCAGAUGAUAGUUAAUAGGUUUAAUUGGGUUUUUGGUUGAUUUUCAGAGAUUUCAUCGGUGAUGGCAACGUCGGUCCAGCAAGCCUCAGUUCCUCCUGAUGUUGUUGCUAAUGCGUUUGUUCAUCAAUACUACCUCAUCUUGCAUCAGUCGCCCGAGCUUGUUCACCGAUUCUACCAGGAUGUUAGUAGGCUUGGUCGUCCAGGGGAGGGUGGGAUCAUGAGUACCACAACCACCAUGCAUGUGAGUUUCAUACUGUACACACCCAAUUUUGUUUAAGGUGGUGUUUGUGAAUAUGUUUUCUUGUUUCCUAUUGAAAAUUGCUCUGCUCCCUAGAAAAACGGAAAAAUGUAAUGUUCAAGGUCUUGGGGAUUGCCUUGGGGAAACAGAACGUUUGUCUGCUAUUUGGGUUUGGAAUUUACCAAAAAGAAAAAUGCCGAGAUCAUUUUUUUUUCUGGCAUUUGUUAUUAUGUCUGAAGAAUCUAACUUCAGCCAGGUAUGGAUUUGUUUUCUUUCUCUGGAAUAUUAAAAUUUUUUGCCCAAUUAUUUUUUACAGCAAGUAUGCUAACAUUAGAGGAAUAUAAUAGGAAUUCCUUAGGAUUGGGGUUUUCUCUAAUGCCUUUUUUUAUUAUAUGUUCAUUAUAUUAGGAGUAUUAAGGUGUAUGCCAAUUGCCUGCUGGAAGUAGAGGUUACUGAACAUGAAUUACUGUUAAAUUUUUUGUGCUGCUGCAUGUGUGACUGCUUUUUAUGAUGCAGGCUAUAAAUGAGAAGAUACUCUCGCUUGGUUAUGGAGAAUUCAGAGCAGAAAUAACCACAGUUGAUUCACAAGAAUCAUAUGACGGAGGAGUCCUUGUCCUUGUGACUGGAUAUUUGACUGGAAAUGAUAAUGUUCGACAGAAAUUUACUCAGAGUUUCUUCUUGGCACCACAAGACAAAGGCUAUUUUGUUUUGAAUGAUGUCUUCCGAUACGUUGAUGAUGCCAAGCUUCAAAAUGGAAAUCUUGAUGUUGUCAAUAGUAUUGAAGGUCCAGCCACUCCUAACCAGGACCUUCCUUCUGUGCAAGAAAAUCACAUUUCUGAGCAAGUGACUGCUUUCUCUGAGGAAGCCAAUGGGGAGGAAAUGUGCAAUCCCUCUGAGAAUGGGGAUGGGGCAAUUGAAGAACAGGAAGCACCAGUGCCUGAGGUUGUUGAUGAAAUUCCCAAUGACUCGCAGAUGGUGGUUGAUUCACAGAUAGUGGCUGAAUCUAAUGCUAAGAUUGUAGAAGUGCCAAAGAAGUCAUAUGCAUCAAUUUUGAAAGUUAUGAGGGAGAACGCUGCACCUUUUUCUAGUCCUGCCCCUUUUUCAAGCCCUGCUCCUUAUCCUCUGAGGUCUGCACCAAAAAGCCAAGAACAAGUCACUGCUGCAGUAACUCCUGCACUGGCAACUGAGGCACACAUCUCCAAUUCAAAUGCUACUGAAAAUGGGAAUGCCCAAGAGAAUGAAGCUGGAGGUCCUUCCAUCUAUGUGAAAGGCCUGCCUUUAGAUGCAACACCUGCCCUACUUGAGGACGAAUUUAAGAAGUUUGGACCUAUUAGGCCUGGUGGUAUUCAAGUUAGAUGUCAAAAGGGAUUUUGCUUUGGUUUUGUCGAAUUUGAAGUGGCAAGUGCUGUGCAGAGUGCAUUACAGGCUUCUCCUAUCAUGAUUAGUGGAUGCCGGGUUGUUGUGGAGGAAAAGAGAUCUACUUCUCGAGGCAAGUUGGUUUUUAUGGUCAAUUUUAUUUGUAGAAAAUUGUGCCAUAUUGUCUGUAUGCAAUUCAUGGGAGCAAUACCUUUUCAACUUAUAUUUAUGCUAAAAUUUUAUGUGAAAAGUUGUCAAUUUUGUUUAUUUUAGUUUAGAAGUUAGGGACUUUAUAAAGUUAGGGAACCACUUGAUGGUGAUUUGGACUUAAAGCAAAUAAGGAAAGUACAUAUGUUAAAUUUUAUGCAUCACUUAGCAGAUACAUAAAAUUUCUAUCAUUUAUAAUUACAGUAACAAAAUAUUGAGGGCUUUUUGACCCAAAAAAAGGAUCAUUAAUUAAGUUUAUGCAUCGUAUAGAUAAAUAUUGUAGUUCCAAAUUAAGGCAAUCUUUGACACGUCAAGUUAGACGCGAAUGUGUAUGGUACUAGGUGGUGUUUUACCAGUAGGGUUAGAUAAAAUCCUUAUUUUACAUUAGCUCAGAAUGGGGAAGGGGUAUCUCACAAAUACAAUCCCAUUGUAGCCUUAAUGUGUUACUCAUUGACUUGUUGGGAAUUUAUUGUCUUUCCAAGUUAGUAUAGGAAGCAAAUUACUCAUUUUUGCCAAUUAAAUAGGAAAAUUUUCAUAGAUGUAUAAUCCAAUUUCUAGAUUAUGAUCCACAAGUCUGCUUCAGGCCCUCUGUCUAUUUCUUCAGCAUAUGGAAGUGACUCUUUAUCUGC